CGUGUAGGCGGCUAGGCAAGUCGAGUGUGAAAUCCCAGGGCUCAACCCUGGAACUGCACCCGAAACUGCUUAGCUAGAGUCCCGGAGAGGGUGGCGGAAUUUCCGGUGUAGAGGUGAAAUUCGUAGAUAUCGGAAGGAACACCAGUGGCGAAGGCGGCCACCUGGACGGUGACUGACGCUGAGACGCGAAAGCGUGGGGAGCAAACAGGAUUAGAUACCCUGGUAGUCC
RNAcentral lists this ribosomal RNA (229 nucleotides) under uncultured bacterium. RNAcentral describes it as "partial 16S ribosomal RNA". It matches the Rfam family "Bacterial small subunit ribosomal RNA", at positions 568 to 796 of the family's 1533-position model. The record is from RNAcentral.